CCUACGGGAGGCAGCAGUAGGGAAUCUUUCACAAUGGGCGAAAGCCUGAUGGAGCAACGCCGCGUGCAGGAUGAAGGCCUUCGGGUUGUAAACUGCUUUUAUAAGCGAGAAAUAUGAUGGUAAUUUAUGAAUAAGGAUCGGCUAACUACGUGCCAGCAGCCGCGGUCAUACGUAGGAUCCGAGCAUUAUCCGGAGUGACUGGGUGUAAAGAGUUGCGUAGGUGGCAUAAUAAGUAGCUAGUGAAAUCUGGUGGCUCAACCAUUCAGACUAUUAGCUAAACUGUUAAGCUCGAGACCGUUAGGGGUAACUGGAAUUCCUAGUGUAGGAGUGAAAUCCGUAGAUAUUAGAAGGAACACCAAUAGCGUAGGCAGGUUGCUGGACCGCGACUGACGUUGAGGCUCGAAAGCGUGGGGAGCGAACAGGAUUAGAUACCCCAGUAGUC
RNAcentral lists this ribosomal RNA (442 nucleotides) under uncultured bacterium. RNAcentral describes it as "partial 16S ribosomal RNA". It matches the Rfam family "Bacterial small subunit ribosomal RNA", at positions 338 to 795 of the family's 1533-position model. The record is from RNAcentral.